RNAcentral lists this ribosomal RNA (492 nucleotides) under uncultured bacterium. RNAcentral's name for it is "partial 16S ribosomal RNA". It matches the Rfam family "Bacterial small subunit ribosomal RNA", at positions 29 to 507 of the family's 1533-position model. The record is from RNAcentral.
AGUGAACGCUGGCGGUAGGCCUAACACAUGCAAGUCGAACGGCAGCACAGUAAGAGCUUGCUCUUACGGGUGGCGAGUGGCGGACGGGUGAGGAAUACAUCGGAAUCUACUUUUUCGUGGGGGAUAACGUAGGGAAACUUACGCUAAUACCGCAUACGACCUACGGGUGAAAGCAGGGGAUCUUCUGACCUUGCGCGAAUGAAUGAGCCGAUGUCGGAUUAGCUAGUUGGCGGGGUAAAGGCCCACCAAGGCGACGAUCCGUAGCUGGUCUGAGAGGAUGAUCAGCCACACUGGAACUGAGACACGGUCCAGACUCCUACGGGAGGCAGCAGUGGGGAAUAUUGGACAAUGGGCGCGAGCCUGAUCCAGCCAUACCGCGUGGGUGAAGAAGGCCUUCGGGUUGUAAAGCCCUUUUGUUGGGAAAGAAAAGCAGCAGGUUAAUACCCCGCUGUUCUGACGGUACCCAAAGAAUAAGCACCGGCUAACUUCGUG